RNAcentral lists this ribosomal RNA (433 nucleotides) under uncultured bacterium. Its description in RNAcentral is "partial 16S ribosomal RNA". It matches the Rfam family "Bacterial small subunit ribosomal RNA", at positions 29 to 507 of the family's 1533-position model. The record is from RNAcentral.
AACGAACGCUGGCGGCAUGCCUAACACAUGCAAGUCGAACGAUACCUUCCGGUCUAGUGGCGCACGGCUGCGUAAAGCGUGGGAACCGGCCCUUAGGUUCGCAAUAACUCACCGUAAGGGGCACUAAUGCCGGAUAAUGCCUUCCAGCCAAUGAUAUCUCGCAUUAGUAUGUGCCCGCAUUGGUUUGGCUGGUUGGUAGGGUAAAAGCCUACUGAGGCGUCGAUCCAUAGCUGGUCAGAGAGGAUGAUCAGCCACUCUGGGGCUGAGACACGGCACAGACUCUUACGGGAGGGAGCAGAGGCUGACAUAGGACAAUGGGGGAAGUGCUGAUGGAGCAAUGCUGGGAAAGUUCUGAAGGUCGUAGGGUAGUAAAGCUCUUUUACCCGAGAUGAUAAUGACAGUACCGGGCGAAUAAGCUACGGCUAACUACGUG